UACGUAGGGAGCAAGCGUUGUCCGGAAUCAUUGGGCGUAAAGCGCGCGUAGGCGGCCCUGUAAGUCCGCUGUGAAAGUCAAAGGCUCAACCUUUGAAAGCCGGUGGAUACUGCAGGGCUAGAGUCCGGAAGAGGCGAGUGGAAUUCCUGGUGUAGCGGUGGAAUGCGCAGAUAUCAGGAGGAACACCAAUAGCAAAGGCAGCUCGCUGGGACGGUACUGACGCUAAGGCGCGAAAGCGUGGGGAGCGAACAGG
This 253-nucleotide ribosomal RNA is filed under the name uncultured bacterium. Its description in RNAcentral is "partial 16S ribosomal RNA". It matches the Rfam family "Bacterial small subunit ribosomal RNA", at positions 524 to 776 of the family's 1533-position model. The record is from RNAcentral.